UGUAGCAAUACAAGGCAGACGGCUCAGUAACGCGUAGUCAACCUACCCUAUGGACGGGGAUAACCUCGGGAAACUGAGAAUAAUACCCGAUAGAACAUUAUACCUGGAAUGGUUUAUGUUUCAAAUAAUUUAUUGCCGUAGGAUGGGACUGCGGCCUAUCAGUUUGUUGGUGAGGUAAUGGCCCACCAAGACUAUUACAGGUACGGGCUCUGAGAGGAGUAGCCCGGAGAUGGGUACUGAGACACGGACCCAGGCCCUAUGGGGCGCAGCAGGCGAGAAAACUUUGCAAUGUGCGAAAGCACGACAAGGUUAAUCCGAGUGGUUUCUGCUAAAGGAACCUUUUGUCAGUCCUAGAAACACUGGUGAAUAAGGGGUGGGCAAGUUCUGGUGUCAGCCGCCGCGGUAAAACCAGCACCUCAAGUGGUCAGGAUGAUUAUUGGGCCUAAAGCAUCCGUAGCCUGCUUUGUUAGUUUUCGGUUAAAUCCAUACGCUUAACGUAUGGGCUGCCGGGAAUACUGCAAAGCUAGGGAGUGGGAGAGGUAGACGGUACUCGGUAGGAAGGGGUAAAAUCCUUUGAUCUAUUGAUGACCUCCUGUGGCGAAGGCGGUCUACCAGAACACGUCCGACGGUGAGGGAUGAAAGCUGGGGGAGCAAACCGGAUUAGAUACCCGGGUAGUCCCAGCUGUAAACUAUGCAAACUCGGUGAUGCAUUGGCUUGAUGCCGAUGCAGUGCCGCAGGGAAGCCGUUAAGUUUGCCGCCUGGGAAGUACGUACGCAAGUAUGAAACUUAAAGGAAUUGGCGGGGGAGCACCACAAGGGGUGAAGCCUGCGGUUCAAUUGGA
Molecule: ribosomal RNA, 842 nt
Filed under: uncultured archaeon
Lineage: Archaea
Description: bacterial SSU rRNA
Rfam family: Archaeal small subunit ribosomal RNA
Source: RNAcentral